GUCGAACGCUGGCGGCGUGCUUAACACAUGCAAGUCGAACGGACAGACAGAGAGCUUGCUCUCUUGAAGUUAGUGGCGAACGGGUGAGUAACGCGUAAUCAACCUGCCCUUCAGAGGGGGAUAACAACGGGAAACCGUUGCUAAUACCGCGUACGAUUCAUGAACGGCAUCGUUUAUGAAUGAAAGGUGGCCUCUAUGUAUAAGCUAUCGCUGAAGGAGGGGAUUGCGUCUGAUUAGCUAGUUGGAGGGGUAACGGCCCACCAAGGCAAUGAUCAGUAGCCGGUCUGAGAGGAUGAACGGCCACAUUGGGACUGAGACACGGCCCAAACUCCUACGGGAUGCAGCAGUGGGGAAUCUUCCGCAAUGGACGAAAGUCUGACGGAGCAACGCCGCGUGAGUGAUGAAGGUCUUCGGAUUGUAAAGCUCUGUUAAUCGGGACGAAAGGGUUCUGCGUGAAUAAUGCAGAAAAGUGACGGUACCGGAAUAGAAAGCCACGGCUAACUACGUGCCAGCCGCCGCCGUAA
RNAcentral lists this ribosomal RNA (524 nucleotides) under uncultured bacterium. Its description in RNAcentral is "partial 16S ribosomal RNA". It matches the Rfam family "Bacterial small subunit ribosomal RNA", at positions 28 to 523 of the family's 1533-position model. The record is from RNAcentral.